GACGAACGCUGGCGGCGUGCUUAACACAUGCAAGUCGAACGGAAAGGCCUGCUUUCCCUUGUGGAUUGCGGGUACUCGAGUGGCGAACGGGUGAGUAACACGUGAGUGAUCUGCCCCCAACUUGGGUAUAAGCCUGGGAGACUGGGUCUAAUUCCCGAUAGGACUGCAGGGUGGUGCCUGUGGUGGAAAACGAUUUUCUAGUGGUUGGGGAUGAGCUCGCGGCUUAUCAGCUUGUUGGUGGGGUAAUGGCCUACCAAGGCGGCGACGGGUAGCGGGCCUGGGAAGGUUGACGGUGAUAGUAGGGCUGGGUGACUGCCAUAACGCCUGCGAGGGGCAGCAUAGGGGAAUAUUGUAGAAUGGGCGGAAGCCUGUUGCAGCGAUGCAGCGGGGGUGAUGUCGGCCGUCGGGUUGUAGCCGCCUUUCGACCGCGAGGAAGCCACCGGGUUGGAAGUGGCGUGACGGUAGUGGUAGAAGAAGCACCGGCUAACUACGUG
This 494-nucleotide ribosomal RNA is filed under the name uncultured bacterium. Its description in RNAcentral is "partial 16S ribosomal RNA". It matches the Rfam family "Bacterial small subunit ribosomal RNA", at positions 28 to 507 of the family's 1533-position model. The record is from RNAcentral.